CAGGAGUUAGUUUCAUUAAAAUAUUGGUUUUGGGGACCAAAGAUAGGAAGUUUUCUACUCUUGA
RNAcentral lists this transfer RNA (64 nucleotides) under Chorthippus fallax. Its description in RNAcentral is "tRNA-Pro". Lineage: Eukaryota; Metazoa; Arthropoda; Insecta; Orthoptera; Acrididae. The record is from RNAcentral.